AUAUCAAUAAGCGGAGGAAAAGAAACCAACAGGGAUUGCCUCAGUAACGGCGAGUGAAGCGGCAAAAGCUCAAAUUUGAAAUCUGGCACCUUCGGUGUCCGAGUUGUAAUUUGAAGAAGGUAACUUUGGAGUUGGCUCUUGUCUAUGUUCCUUGGAACAGGACGUCACAGAGGGUGAGAAUCCCGUGCGAUGAGAUGCCCAAUUCUAUGUAAAGUGCUUUCGAAGAGUCGAGUUGUUUGGGAAUGCAGCUCUAAGUGGGUGGUAAAUUCCAUCUAAAGCUAAAUAUUGGCGAGAGACCGAUAGCGAACAAGUACAGUGAUGGAAAGAUGAAAAGAACUUUGAAAAGAGAGUGAAAAAGUACGUGAAAUUGUUGAAAGGGAAGGGCUUGAGAUCAGACUUGGUAUUUUGCAAGCCUUACCUUCGUGGUGGGGUCCCCUGCAGUUUACUGGGCCAGCAUCGGUUUGGAUGGUAGGAUAAUGACUUGGGAAUGUGACUUUGCUUCGGUAAAGUGUUAUAGCCCUUGUUGAUACUGCCUGUCUAGACCGAGGACUGCGUCUUUGACUAGGAUGCUGGCAUAAUGAUCUUA
This 586-nucleotide ribosomal RNA is filed under the name Debaryomyces sp. Its description in RNAcentral is "LSU rRNA". It matches the Rfam family "Eukaryotic large subunit ribosomal RNA", at positions 40 to 642 of the family's 3401-position model. Lineage: Eukaryota; Fungi; Ascomycota; Pichiomycetes; Serinales; Debaryomycetaceae. The record is from RNAcentral.